This 416-nucleotide long non-coding RNA is filed under the name Brachypodium distachyon (stiff brome). Its description in RNAcentral is "long non-coding RNA (BDIS_LNC002201)". The record is from RNAcentral. Lineage: Eukaryota; Viridiplantae; Streptophyta; Magnoliopsida; Poales; Poaceae.
GGGCUUUGAAUCUUAAAACCAAUAGGGUUUAUCUAUAAAUGGGGUUUAUUGCAUAAAUAAGCUAUCCCAUAAUUUUUGGAUAUUUAUUUGGAGUUGAAAAACUAUUUUAUUUAAAUAGUUAUAUAGCCCUAAAGGCAUUUAUAGGGCAAAUGUAUUUUUUAUAUAUUUUAUUUUGAGAGGAAGUUACUCCCAAAAGUUUAAUCAUGAUAAAAUAUGAUUUAACAAAUUUUCUAGAAUUUAUUUGGAUCAAUUUGGAGUUCAAAAUCAAAAGAUAUCAAAGAAAUCAGAAAAAGAAAAAGAGAAAAGGCUAAAAGGGAAAAAAAAGGGGAAAACCGGACCGAACCGGCCCAGUCCCGCGCGAACCGACUGAGCCAGACCGGCCCCACCUGCCGCGCGCGCGCCCGAGCCACUGAAGC